UGCAAGUCGAACGGUGAAGCCCAGCUUGCUGGGUGGAUCAGUGGCGAACGGGUGAGUAACACGUGAGCAACCUGCCCCUGACUCUGGGAUAAGCGCUGGAAACGGCGUCUAAUACUGGAUACGAGACGUGAUCGCAUGGUCGACGUCUGGAAAGAUUUUUUGGUUGGGGAUGGGCUCGCGGCCUAUCAGCUUGUUGGUGAGGUAAUGGCUCACCAAGGCGUCGACGGGUAGCCGGCCUGAGAGGGUGACCGGCCACACUGGGACUGAGACACGGCCCAGACUCCUACGGGAGGCAGCAGUGGGGAAUAUUGCACAAUGGGCGCAAGCCUGAUGCAGCAACGCCGCGUGAGGGAUGACGGCCUUCGGGUUGUAAACCUCUUUUAGCAAGGAAGAAGCGAAAGUGACGGUACUUGCAGAAAAAGCGCCGGCUAACUACGUGCCAGCAGCCGCGGUAAUACGUAGGGCGCAAGCGUUAUCCGGAAUUAUUGGGCGUAAAGAGCUCGUAGGCGGUUUGUCGCGUCUGCUGUGAAAUCCCGAGGCUCAACCUCGGGUCUGCAGUGGGUACGGGCAGACUAGAGUGCGGUAGGGGAGAUUGGAAUUCCUGGUGUAGCGGUGGAAUGCGCAGAUAUCAGGAGGAACACCGAUGGCGAAGGCAGAUCUCUGGGCCGUAACUGACGCUGAGGAGCGAAAGGGUGGGGAGCAAACAGGCUUAGAUACCCUGGUAGUCCACCCCGUAAACGUUGGGAACUAGUUGUGGGGUCCUUUCCACGGAUUCCGUGACGCAGCUAACGCAUUAAGUUCCCCGCCUGGGGAGUACGGCCGCAAGGCUAAAACUCAAAGGAAUUGACGGGGACCCGCACAGCGGCGGAGCAUGCGAUUAUUCGAUGCACGCGAGACUUACAGGCUUGACAUACACGAGACACCUAGAAUAGGGACUCUUUGACACUCGU
RNAcentral lists this ribosomal RNA (950 nucleotides) under Microbacterium yannicii. RNAcentral's name for it is "bacterial SSU rRNA". It matches the Rfam family "Bacterial small subunit ribosomal RNA", at positions 56 to 1031 of the family's 1533-position model. The record is from RNAcentral. Lineage: Bacteria; Bacillati; Actinomycetota; Actinomycetes; Micrococcales; Microbacteriaceae.